GGUGUUAAAAUAAAUCAUUAAGAAAGUUAUAGGUGAAUGUUUAGAAAAAUGCACGGUAAUUGGGAACAGUCAGCAUGGUUUUGUCAAAGGAAAAUUACAUCUAACCAAUUUAUUGGAGUCCUUUGAAGGAGUAACAUGAGUUGUGAUUAAAGGGAAGCCUGUACAGAUACAAUAUUUGGAUUUCUAGAAGGCACUUAACAAGACACUACAUAAAAGAACUCAUCAGCAGUAAGGUCAACCUAAAACCCUUGCUUACCUGGAUCAAGGCCUACCGAUCCAAACAGCUAUAGAUUCUGUAGUAAUGUCAGAUGGAGGGCUUAUGUCUUCAUAUCCAAGCAAUAGCUUGGAUCUGUGGAUUACUGGAAGAAAGUGAGGACUGCAGAUGCUGGAGAUCAGAGCUGAACGUGUGUUCCUGGAA
Chiloscyllium plagiosum (whitespotted bambooshark) is the source of this 418-nucleotide long non-coding RNA. RefSeq lists it as uncharacterized. Lineage: Eukaryota; Metazoa; Chordata; Chondrichthyes; Orectolobiformes; Hemiscylliidae. The record is from RefSeq and is a predicted model, not a curated record.